This 878-nucleotide ribosomal RNA is filed under the name Candidatus Phytoplasma cynodontis. RNAcentral's name for it is "bacterial SSU rRNA". It matches the Rfam family "Bacterial small subunit ribosomal RNA", at positions 366 to 1254 of the family's 1533-position model. The record is from RNAcentral. Lineage: Bacteria; Bacillati; Mycoplasmatota; Mollicutes; Acholeplasmatales; Acholeplasmataceae.
CGGCAAUGGAGGAAACUCUGACCGAACAACGCCGCGUGAACGAUGAAGUAUUUCGGUAUGUAAAGUUCUUUUAUUGGAGAAGAAAAAAUAGUGGAAAAACUAUCUUGACGAUAUUCAAUGAAUAAGCCCCGGCAAACUAUGUGCCAGCAGCCGCGGUAAUACAUAGGGGGCGAGCGUUAUCCGGAAUUAUUGGGCGUAAAGGGUGCGUAGGCGGUUUGGUAAGUCUAUAGUUUAAUUUCAGUGCUUAACACUGUUCUGCUAUAGAAACUAUCAGACUAGGGUGAGAUAGAGGCAAGUGGAAUUCCAUGUGUAGCGGUAAAAUGCGUAAAUAUAUGGAGGAACACCAGAGGCGUAGGCGGCUUGCUGGGUCUUCACUGACGCUGGGGCACGAAAGCGUGGGGAGCAAACAGGAUUAGAUACCCUGGUAGUCCACGCCGUAAACGAUGAGUACUAAGUGUCGGGGAAACUCGGUACUGAAGUUAACACAUUAAGUACUCCGCCUGAGUAGUACGUACGCAAGUACGAAACUUAAAGGAAUUGACGGGACUCCGCACAAGCGGUGGAUCAUGUUGUUUAACUCGAAGAUACACGAAAAACCUUACCAGGUCUUGACAUACUCUGCAAAGCUAUAGCAAUGUAGUGGAGGUGAUCAGGGAUACAGGUGGUGCAUGGUUGUCGUCAGCUCGUGUCGUGAGAUGUUAGGUUAAGUCCUAAAACGAGCGCAACCCUUGUCACUAGUUGCCAGCAUGUUAUGAUGGGCACUUUAGUGAGACUGCCAAUGAAAAAUUGGAGGAAGGUGAGGAUCACGUCAAAUCAUCAUGCCCCUUAUGAUCUGGGUUACAAACGUGAUACAAUGGCUGUUACAAAGAGUAGCUGAA